GCUCAGGACGAACGCUGGCGGCGUGCCUAAUACAUGCAAGUCGAGCGGACCGACGGGAGCUUGCUCCCUUAGGUCAGCGGCGGACGGGUGAGUAACACGUGGGUAACCUGCCUGUAAGACUGGGAUAACUCCGGGAAACCGGGGCUAAUACCGGAUGCUUGAUUGAACCGCAUGGUUCAAUCAUAAAAGGUGGCUUUUAGCUACCACUUACAGAUGGACCCGCGGCGCAUUAGCUAGUUGGUGAGGUAACGGCUCACCAAGGCGACGAUGCGUAGCCGACCUGAGAGGGUGAUCGGCCACACUGGGACUGAGACACGGCCCAGACUCCUACGGGAGGCAGCAGUAGGGAAUCUUCCGCAAUGGACGAAAGUCUGACGGAGCAACGCCGCGUGAGUGAUGAAGGUUUUCGGAUCGUAAAACUCUGUUGUUAGGGAAGAACAAGUACCGUUCGAAUAGGGCGGCACCUUGACGGUACCUAACCAGAAAGCCACGGCUAACUACGUGCCAGCAGCCGCGGUAAUACGUAGGUGGCAAGCGUUGUCCGGAAUUAUUGGGCGUAAAGCGCGCGCAGGCGGUUUCUUAAGUCUGAUGUGAAAGCCCCCGGCUCAACCGGGGAGGGUCAUUGGAAACUGGGGAACUUGAGUGCAGAAGAGGAGAGUGGAAUUCCACGUGUAGCGGUGAAAUGCGUAGAGAUGUGGAGGAACACCAGUGGCGAAGGCGACUCUCUGGUCUGUAAACUGACGCUGAGGCGCGAAAGCGUGGGGAGCGAACAGGAUUAGAUACCCUGGUAGUCCACGCCGUAAACGAUGAGUGCUAAGUGUUAGAGGGUUUCCGCCCUUUAGUGCUGCAGCAAACGCAUUAAGCACUCCGCCUGGGGAGUACGGUCGCAAGACUGAAACUCAAAGGAAUUGACGGGGGCCCGCACAAGCGGUGGAGCAUGUGGUUUAAUUCGAAGCAACGCGAAGAACCUUACCAGGUCUUGACAUCCUCUGACAACCCUAGAGAUAGGGCUUCCCCUUCGGGGGCAGAGUGACAGGUGGUGCAUGGUUGUCGUCAGCUCGUGUCGUGAGAUGUUGGGUUAAGUCCCGCAACGAGCGCAACCCUUGAUCUUAGUUGCCAGCAUUCAGUUGGGCACUCUAAGGUGACUGCCGGUGACAAACCGGAGGAAGGUGGGGAUGACGUCAAAUCAUCAUGCCCCUUAUGACCUGGGCUACACACGUGCUACAAUGGGCAGAACAAAGGGCAGCGAAGCCGCGAGGCUAAGCCAAUCCCACAAAUCUGUUCUCAGUUCGGAUCGCAGUCUGCAACUCGACUGCGUGAAGCUGGAAUCGCUAGUAAUCGCGGAUCAGCAUGCCGCGGUGGAAUACGUUCCCGGGCCUUGUACACACCGCCCGUCACACCACGAGAGUUUGUAACACCCGAAGUCGGUGAGGUAACCUUUUGGAGCCAGCCGCCGAAGGUGGGACAGAUGAUUGGG
This 1477-nucleotide ribosomal RNA is filed under the name Bacillus licheniformis. RNAcentral's name for it is "16S ribosomal RNA". It matches the Rfam family "Bacterial small subunit ribosomal RNA". Lineage: Bacteria; Bacillati; Bacillota; Bacilli; Caryophanales; Bacillaceae. The record is from RNAcentral.